UAGAGAGAGAAAAGGAAGAAUAUUUCAGUCAAUAUUAAAAAUUUAACCCUUCUAGGACAGACCACAUCCAUAGACAUUCAGCCUGAGCUUAGACGUCAUAAGACGUGUAUUUUCUACUAUUUUCUAGACUUAUGGUUUGAUAUUUGAGUCUAUAUAUUACAUAUCAGCAAAGUGAUACAAAUUAGCCCUAGUUACACAAUUGCAGGAAUAGAUAGCCUAAUUUCAUCAAAAGAGAAAAUCUAGUACGAAAUUGAUCUGACCCCGUGAAAGAUGCCCACUGUGGAAAGGUUAAAAAGAAAGAUUGAAAAUGCAUUGAAAUCAUACACUUCCCCUUCCCCCUUUCCCACAGAAAACAGAGCCAUGGGAGCACGAGAAGGAGGUGCUUGACUACGAGCAUUACAUAUGGGAAGGCAGUCCCUCAGAGGCAGCACUCAAGGCCCUUGCAUCAGCCAUGGGAGACUCGGUACCAGAAGCGCACGUCAAGGAAUACAGAGAUGCAGUCACAGAGUUGCACAACGAGGGAGAGGAUGAAACAACAUUAACCAAGUAUCGAGAAGCAGUGAUGAAGAUAGCUGGGGUAGCAUAAUGGCAUUUGAAUUCAUCUUGAUUAGUGAUCGAAUACAAUUCAUUCAUAGACAUCAGAAGUCAUUACUGAGACAGUUAAAACCUGUGUACAGUAAAAGAAAGAAAAAAUGUGUAUAUUUUGUUAUUUGUAAAUAGAUCUGUCUUCUUUUUUUCUUUUCUUGAUUCCCUCUCAGUUGUAAAAGUUGAUGUUUGUUGAGCUUUUAUAAUGAAAUACAAGAAGUAACUAUA
RNAcentral lists this long non-coding RNA (813 nucleotides) under Penaeus japonicus. Its description in RNAcentral is "uncharacterized LOC122266839". The record is from RNAcentral. Lineage: Eukaryota; Metazoa; Arthropoda; Malacostraca; Decapoda; Penaeidae.